AACGUAGGAGGCAAGCGUUAUCCGGAGUUACUGGGCGUAAAGAGCGUGUAGGCGGGCUGGCAAGUCUGGUGUGAAAGCUCCCGGCUAAACUGGGAGAGUGCAUUGGAGACUGCCAAUCUAGAGGCUGUCAGAGGGUCGUGGAAUUCCGGGUGUAGUGGUGAAAUGCGUAGAGAUCCGGAGGAACACCAGUGGCGAAGGCGACGACCUGGGGCAGAACUGACGCUGAGACGCGAAAGCACGGGGAGCGAACGGG
Molecule: non-coding RNA, 253 nt
Filed under: uncultured bacterium
Lineage: Bacteria
Also listed under: 1 other name
Description: partial 16S ribosomal RNA
Rfam family: Bacterial small subunit ribosomal RNA
Source: RNAcentral